Molecule: ribosomal RNA, 230 nt
Filed under: uncultured bacterium
Lineage: Bacteria
Description: partial 16S ribosomal RNA
Rfam family: Bacterial small subunit ribosomal RNA
Source: RNAcentral
AAAGCGCGCGUAGGUGGUUUGUUAAGUUGGAUGUGAAAUCCCCGGGCUCAACCUGGGAACUGCAUCCAAAACUGGCAAGCUAGAGUAUGGUAGAGGGUGGUGGAAUUUCCUGUGUAGCGGUGAAAUGCGUAGAUAUAGGAAGGAACACCAGUGGCGAAGGCGACCACCUGGACUGAUACUGACACUGAGGUGCGAAAGCGUGGGGAGCAAACAGGAUUAGAUACCCGGGU